This 378-nucleotide unclassified non-coding RNA is filed under the name uncultured Actinomycetes bacterium. RNAcentral describes it as "uncultured actinobacterium contains 16S-23S intergenic spacer region". Lineage: Bacteria; Bacillati; Actinomycetota; Actinomycetes. The record is from RNAcentral.
UCCGAGUUGACCCCGGCAGUCUCCUAUGAGUCCCCGGCAUUAUCCGCUGGCAACAUAGGACGAGGGUUGCGCUCGUUGCGGGACUUAACCCAACAUCUCACGACACGAGCUGACGACAACCAUGCACCACCUGUCACCGGCCCCGAAGGACCCCGCAUCUCUGCGAGAUUUCCGGCGAUGUCAAACCCAAGUAAGGUUCUUCGCGUUGCAUCGAAUUAAUCCGCAUGCUCCGCCGCUUGUGCGGGCCCCCGUCAAUUCCUUUGAGUUUUAGCCUUGCGGCCGUAGCCCCCAGGCGGUGUACUCAUUGCGUAAGCGCAGGCACCGAGCAGCGCAAUCACUGCCCAGCGCCGGGUACACAUCGUUUACGGCGUGGACUAC